CGGAGAGAGCAUGUGAACUUGCUUCCAUUCAUGUCGAUGGCAAACGCUUCUCUCGUGCGGAAACUCACCUGCUUAUUCUCAAACAGGACGACCUCUACAGAACAGGAGUGUGUUGCUGGUAGUUCAGACGUGAGUAGAUUGCAGUUGUCUGAAAUCUUGAAAUGCGAGCAGCUUUGAAUGGUAUUAUUUGGCCUUUUAAGUCUGAUGGUUGACCGCCCUUCGUCCUCAGGAAGAGGUUAAGAUUCAGUGAUCGUGGAGUUGGUUUCCAAGUCCAGUAGUUCACUGGGUUUGGAGGCUGCUCUCUCUUCUAGUCUAAAGAAACUAUACAAGAUCAGUGUCUAAUCAUCCUUGCCUAAUAAUUCAAUGACUGCUCUUCGUAUAUCAAGAUUGACAACCUUAAAAGACCUCUUGAAGAUUAUACCAGAAAACCAUUUGACAAGAGAUUGACUUAAGGGAAAGGAGCUUUAGACUUUCAGUAAUGUUUCAGGCCUUUGUUAUUUGACCACAACAACUCAUGUAAGGUUGGAUCCAAGGAAGCAACAAGGUAACGUUGACGCAGUGAAAUAUAUUUAGUGAGUUGAAGCACAACCUUCCUCAAUCGAGGCUAAGAGUCAAAAGUAUAAG
RNAcentral lists this long non-coding RNA (624 nucleotides) under Musa acuminata (dwarf banana). RNAcentral describes it as "long non-coding RNA (MACU_LNC007584)". Lineage: Eukaryota; Viridiplantae; Streptophyta; Magnoliopsida; Zingiberales; Musaceae. The record is from RNAcentral.